This 209-nucleotide long non-coding RNA is filed under the name Pan troglodytes (chimpanzee). RNAcentral describes it as "long non-coding RNA NONPTRT012408". Lineage: Eukaryota; Metazoa; Chordata; Mammalia; Primates; Hominidae. The record is from RNAcentral.
AUUAUUGUUGCCUCCCAGUUUCUCACUCUUUGAAAUUGGAAAUCAAAACAGAGCAAAUCUGCUUACUCCUAGUCUGAUUAGGUUCCUUUGAAAGCUGCAGAAGGAAAUUUGGUUAAAAAUAGGUACUUUUUCCCCUUUGCCUUCUGCCAUGAUUGUAAGUUUCCUGAGGUCUCUCCAGAAGCCGAGCAGAUGCCAGAAUCAUGCUUCCU